UCAGGAUGAACGCUAGCGGCAGGCUUAACACAUGCAAGUCGAGGGGCAUCGGGAGUAGCAAUACUUGCCGGCGACCGGCGCAAGGGUGCGUAACGCGUGAGCAACAUGCCCGUAUCAGGGGGAUAAUCCAUGGAAACGUGGUCUAAUACCCCAUAGUAAUUAUGUAAGGCAUCUUAUAUAAUUUAAAGCUUUGGUGGAUACGGAUUGGCUCGCGUGACAUUAGCUGGAUGGUAAGGUAACGGCUUACCAUGGCUACGAUGUCUAGGGGUUCUGAGAGGAAGGUCCCCCACACUGGAACUGAGACACGGUCCAGACUCCUACGGGAGGCAGCAGUGAGGAAUAUUGGACAAUGGAUGGAAAUCUGAUCCAGCCAUGCCGCGUGCAGGAAGACGGCCCUAUGGGUUGUAAACUGCUUUUGUAUGGGAGCAAUAAGGGCUACGUGUAGUCCGAUGAGAGUACCAUACGAAUAAGCACCGGCUAACUCCGUGCCAGCCGCAGC
This 499-nucleotide ribosomal RNA is filed under the name uncultured bacterium. Its description in RNAcentral is "bacterial SSU rRNA". It matches the Rfam family "Bacterial small subunit ribosomal RNA", at positions 24 to 518 of the family's 1533-position model. The record is from RNAcentral.